GAUGAACGCUGGCGGCGUGCCUAAUACAUGCAAGUCGAGCGAACGGACGAGAAGCUUGCUUCUCUGAUGUUAGCGGCGGACGGGUGGGUAACACGUGGAUAACCUACCUAUAAGACUGGGAUAACUUCGGGAAACCGUAGCUAAUACCGGAUAAUAUUUUGAACCGCAUGGUUCAAAAGUGAAAGACGGUCUUGCUGUCACUUAUAGAUGGAUCCGAGCUGCAUUAGCUAGUUGGUAAGGUAACGGCUUACCAAGGCAACGAUGCAUAGCCGACCUGAGAGGGUGAUCGGCCACACUGGAACUGAGACACGGUCCAGACUCCUACGGGAGGCAGCAGUAGGGAAUCUUCCGCAAUGGGCGAAAGCCUGACGGAGCAACGCCGCGUGAGUGAUGAAGGUCUUCGGAUCGUAAAACUCUGUUAUUAGGGAAGAACAUAUGUGUAAGUAACUGUGCACAUCUUGACGGUACCUAAUCAGAAAGCCACGGCUAACUACGUG
RNAcentral lists this ribosomal RNA (497 nucleotides) under uncultured bacterium. RNAcentral's name for it is "partial 16S ribosomal RNA". It matches the Rfam family "Bacterial small subunit ribosomal RNA", at positions 28 to 507 of the family's 1533-position model. The record is from RNAcentral.